This is an RNA transcript of Spinacia oleracea (spinach), 2795 nucleotides long. It is a transcript of the gene named pentatricopeptide repeat-containing protein At4g16390, chloroplastic, with no coding region annotated. The record is from RefSeq and is a predicted model, not a curated record. The transcript is spliced from 2 exons. NCBI's taxonomy places the organism in Eukaryota, Viridiplantae, Streptophyta, Magnoliopsida, Caryophyllales, Amaranthaceae.
UGUGUACUCCGUAACUUGAUAAGACCUCGACUGGGCACGGGCGCACGGCACGUCGGCACAGCAGUUGGUGUUGCAGAGUUGCAGUGGUUUUGAAGUGAGGCGAAGAACACUUCCCAGAAAUGGCAUCGCAUUCAUCAUAUUUGUGUGAUUUUCCCUCCAAAAUUCAUCACCUCACUCCUUUCUCUUCUUCUUCGUCUUCUUCUUCCUUUCGCCUUCCUCUUACUCUGAAGCCCAAUUCUACCUCCUCCCAUUCCAGGCUCAUCCUCGUCAAGUCCUCCCAACUCUCCAUAAAUGACCCAAUUCAAAUUCAAACAGGUUCUGUUAACCCAGAUGCCCGAAAAAGCUACGUUUGGGUGAACCCCAACAGCCCCAGAGCCGCGCAGCUACGUAAACAUUCCUAUGAGUCAAGGUACUCUUCUCUCGUUGACAUUGCUCAUUCUUUAGAUUUAUGUGAUGCUACUCAUGAAGAUGUGGUUAAAGUCUUGUUUGGUUUGGGAGAUAAUGUAGUGGAGCAAGACGCUGUCACUGUUCUUAAUAAUAUGAAAAACCCAGACACGGCUUUGUUAGCGCUUCAAUUUUUCCAGAGUAAGCUCAAAUUAAGCAGAGAGGUCGUGUUAUAUAAUGUUACUUUAAAGGUUUUGAGAAAAACGAGGGAAUUAGACAUGGCAGAGAAGCUGUUCGACGAAAUGCUUCAGAGAGGUAUUAAACCUGAUAAUGUUACUUUUUCUACUAUUAUUAGCUGUUGUAGGAUGUGCAAUAUGCCACAAAAAGGUGUUGAGUGGUUUGAGAAGAUGCCAGCUUUUGGUUGCAAUCCUGAUGAUGUUACAUAUUCUGCUAUGAUUGAUGCCUAUGGAAGGGCUGGCAAUGUGGAUAGAGCCUUUGCUUUAUACGACCGUGCUAGGACUGAGAGGUGGAUUAUUGAUGUUGUGACAUUCUCCACCUUGAUUAAGAUAUAUGGAAAGACCGGUAAUUUUGAUGGGUGUUUGAAUGUUUAUGAGGAGAUGAAGGCUCUUGGGGCUAAGCCUAACUUGGUUAUAUAUAAUACAUUGCUCGAUGCUAUGGGGCGCGCUAAAAGGCCCUGGCAAGCCAAGAAUAUUUUUAAGGAGAUGACUAACAAUGGGAUUUCUCCGAGUUGGGGGACUUAUGCUGCUCUUUUGCGGGCCUUUUGUCGAGCUCGUUACGGUGAUGAUGCCAUCAAGGUCUAUAAAGAAAUGAAGGAAAAGGGACUAGAAUUCAAUGUUAUUCUUUAUAACUCACUUUUAGCAAUGUGUGCUGAUCUGGCAUAUGUUGAUGAUGCUGUAAAAAUCUAUGAAGAGAUGAAGAUUUCCGGGACUUUCCAACCAGAUAGCUGGACAUUUUCGUCGAUGGUUACCAUAUAUUCCUGCAGUGGACAAGUUGCGGAGGCAGAGAAUGUGGUAAAUGAGAUGGUCGAAGCUGGUUUUGAGCCUAACAUUUUUGUUUUAACCUCUCUUAUCCAAUGCUACGGGAAGGCCAAUCAAACCGAUGAUGUAGUGAGGACAUUUGACCGGGUGUUGGAAUUGGGUAUAAUUCCGGAUGAUAGGUUUUGUGGUUGCCUUCUAAAUGUUAUGACACAAACACCCAAAGAAGAACUGAGUAAGCUCAUAGGGUGCAUUUUGAUGUCUAAUGAGAAGCUUGGUGCGGUGGUUCAAAUUUUGUUGGAGGGUGAAAGCAGUGAAGGGCAUUUCAAAGGAGCUGCAUCUGAACUCUUUGGUACCAUUAGCAUGGAUGUAAAGAAGGCUUAUUGUAAUUGCUUGAUUGAUUUAUGUGUCAACCUUAAUUUGUUGGAGAGAGCUUGUGAGCUUUUGGACCUGGGUCUGACUUCUCAAAUAUACAGUGAUUUACAGUCUAGGACUUCCACUCAGUGGUCUUUGCACUUGAAAUCCCUUUCCCUUGGAGCUGCUCUUACUUCAUUACAUGUUUGGACGAAUGACUUAGAAAAGGCCAUAGAAAAGGGUGAGGAACUUCCGCCACUCCUUGGUAUUAACACAGGACAUGGAAAGCACAAGUACUCUGAGAAAGGAUUAGCAGGUGUAUUUGUGGCACAUCUGAAGGAACUUAAUGCACCAUUUCACGAGGCUCCAGACAAGGUUGGCUGGUUUCUGACAACAAAAGCUGCAGCACAAUCAUGGUUGGAGUCUCGAAAGUCCCCUGAAAAUGUUUCUGGAUAGGCCCCCUUUGUCCAUUUCCAAAUUUUGUGGAGGGAUUCUUCAUCUUUACUGUAAUUGUCCAUUUUGCAUGUACGGCAAGACACACUUCGAAUCAUCGAUAACAAAAAAAUACUCCAUUAAUUGCUUAAGGCGGCACGUUGACAAACAUGCUUUUCAUGGCCUGGCCCGUUAUGAGUUGCACUUGUAUGGCCUAAAAGCACUAUAUCGGGUCAUCGGGCGAUUACGGGUCGGAUAUAAUCGGAUAACGUAGUUGUAAUGGGUUAUUGUGCUUAUGCGGAUUGAAUGUGUAUAUUAUUUUUUUGGGUCACUUCAGUUUUUGUCAGAAAUCAAUUGGAUCGGGUCAGUUUUUGAUAGCCCUACUGAUACCCAUAUAAGACCAUAUGCUGAUCUAAAAUGACUAGCCGAGAGUUGGUGGUAUAGUAAAUGAUCAAAUAGUACACAUAGGGCUAUGGGCGGAUCUAAAAUGACUUGCUACUUGAGAGUUGGUGGUAUAUAUGAAUAUGAUCAACGGUUAUGUAGGGAUUGAGAAAUCAUUUACUACAUACGGAAUAUUCUAAAAUAAAGUACUUGUAUUCUUAUAGUAUUUUGAUAAACACGAGGUAAAGU